GGACAGAUGGCCGAGUUGGUAAGCCACGAUUUCCGUUCCUGGUCACGAAAGUGGCGUGGGUUCGAGUCCCACUCUGUUCA
This is a non-coding RNA of Phialocephala subalpina, 80 nucleotides long. Lineage: Eukaryota; Fungi; Ascomycota; Leotiomycetes; Helotiales; Mollisiaceae. The record is from the annotation of a GenBank genome assembly.